GAUGAACGCUAGCGACAGGCCUAACACAUGCAAGUCGAGGGGCAGCACAAGGAGCAAUCUGAGGUGGCGACCGGCGCACGGGUGAGUAACACGUAUGCAACCUACCUGUAAGAGGGGAAUAACCCGUUGAAAAACGGACUAAUACCGCAUAACACUGUAGAACCGCAUGGUUUGACAGUUAAACAUUUAUGGCUUACAGAUGGGCAUGCGCAUGAUUAGCUAGUUGGUGAGGUAACGGCUCACCAAGGCAACGAUCAUUAGGGGUUCUGAGAGGAAGGUCCCCCACACUGGUACUGAGACACGGACCAGACUCCUACGGGAGGCAGCAGUGAGGAAUAUUGGUCAAUGGGCGAGAGCCUGAACCAGCCAAGUCGCGUGAAGGAUGAAGGUUUUAUGAAUUGUAAACUUCUUUUGCAGGGGAUAAAGUGUCCGACGUGUCGGAUUUUGUAUGUACUCUGCGAAUAAGGAUCGGCUAACUCCGUGCCAGC
This 488-nucleotide ribosomal RNA is filed under the name uncultured bacterium. Its description in RNAcentral is "bacterial SSU rRNA". It matches the Rfam family "Bacterial small subunit ribosomal RNA", at positions 28 to 512 of the family's 1533-position model. The record is from RNAcentral.